UAAUACGAAGGGGGCUAGCGUUGUUCGGAAUCACUGGGCGUAAAGCGUACGUAGGCGGAUCGUUAAGUCAGGGGUGAAAGCCUGGAGCUCAACUCCAGAACUGCCUUUGAUACUGGCGAUCUUGAGACCGGGAGAGGUGAGUGGAACUGCUAGUGUAGAGGUGAAAUUCGUAGAUAUUAGCAAGAACACCAGUGGCGAAGGCGGCUCACUGGCCCGGUACUGACGCUGAGGUACGAAAGCGUGGGGAGCAAACAGGAUUAGAUACCCUGGUAGUCCACGCCGUAAACGAUGGAAGCCAGCCGUUGGCCAGCAUGCUGGUCGGUGGCGCAGCUAACGCAUUAAGCUUCCCGCCUGGGGAGUACGGUCGCAAGAUUA
This 375-nucleotide ribosomal RNA is filed under the name uncultured bacterium. RNAcentral describes it as "bacterial SSU rRNA". It matches the Rfam family "Bacterial small subunit ribosomal RNA", at positions 521 to 896 of the family's 1533-position model. The record is from RNAcentral.